ACUCAAAUAGCUUAUAUAUAGAGUACAACUUUGAAGAUGUUGGGGAAGUUAUUUACUUUUGGGUA
This 65-nucleotide transfer RNA is filed under the name Pielomastax zhengi. RNAcentral describes it as "tRNA-Phe". Lineage: Eukaryota; Metazoa; Arthropoda; Insecta; Orthoptera; Episactidae. The record is from RNAcentral.